UCUACUCACUAUGAUAGCACUAAGCUACUAAAGUAGUUUACUCCUAAGAUACAUGACAUUUAAGUGAAGGAAUAGGGGGGUAUUUAUAGUGGGAGAUGGAGUAGGGGCUACUCCGGUGCCAUGUCAGCGAUCCGCGUCAUCUUCAUCAUGCACCAUUGGAUCAAACCGACUUCACAACCGCCAUCUGAUCAACGGUAGAGGCAAACUAACAUGUGCAACAUGUGGGCAAGGUCGGUGGGAGGCCAACCGACCCUGAAACCGCCAUGAAGUGGGGUCGGCCGACCCCCUAUCUUGCUAGUUGGGCCCACCUGCAGUGUCCUGGAGGCUCUCUGAUGUCGGUGGAGUUGAGCUGACCUAUGGGACCCACCAAAGUGGGGUCGCCCGACCCCAAUUCUAUGGGGUUAGGGUGUCAGCCCUGUCCUACAUGUCUUCCUCUUCAUGACUAUAAUGUUGUCUUGGUUACUGGUGUCACUGAUCUUUAGUUAUUCACCCCUUCUUAGUGUUUGGACCCUUGAAAAGUACCUGUUCUUACUCCUGCAACCAAAUAGUAGCAUGUACAUGUGGAACUAGGUUAUAUGUACCUAUAUUACUACUUUGUUUGGUUGUUUUCUCCCAAAAUGAGUCUUAUGUUGACGGUUAUGAUAGUAGAAAACAUGGUAUAAAUACCGUCAACAAGACCCCCCACACUUGAGUCUUUGCUCGUCCUCGAGUAAAGGUUAAAAAUGAGUGAUCAAUGGUUUCUAACUUAAGAUAGUAGUGAGCAUAAAAUGCUAGUUCGAACAUAGUUCAUCCAAAUGGGUUUUUGUGUAAGUGUCUAGCAUAUAUUCUUCAGAGGUUGAGAAAAGGAACAACUCUCAGAACAAGAUCAAAUUCCAAUUUCAUAUUCUUGGUACUUAGAGUUUUUAUGACACUUUUUAAAAUAAGUCACAUAGUUCAAUCCUACUCCUCAUUUAGCGCUCUAGAUCACUCAAAGUUUUUUAGUAGUCCUCACCAAGGCAUGAAUGCCAACUUGUUUCAUCCUAUAAUUAUAGGCUUAUAUGGGGCUUGGUAGGGAUAAACAAGGUAGCAUACUCUACUUUGCAAAUAUUGUUAAGUCAAAAACAAGGAUCCAAUGAGAGGAGUGUCAUAGUCAUAGAUCAAGAUGUGCAAGUGUGUUAUAUGGUGGACUAGGUUGCUCCUUUAUUUACUACACUCUAUCUACUUGUAUAUUGAGACAUGGCUAGAUUUUCUUUUUCUUCGAGCUUUAUGUGCUCAAUUUUUUUUUCAUGGACUUGCACAUGUCCAUCUUUUCUUUUUCUUUUAUUUUGCCAAGCCCUUUUAUGUCUCAUUUUCUAAACAAUAUUUAGAGAGGUGUUCUAACACUUAGAGUAUGGAGCAACCUAUUUAGUGGAUGCACAAUACAUGUGGUUGCGUACUUCCAGUGUAGAAGCAGCAUAUAUAUAUGUGGUGUGUACGUGAUCUUGAUCUUGUGACUAUGAUACAACUCUCACUAGGGUCAACAAGGUUUUGACAAAACUCAUUACAAAAGCAGGUUGCAUUUCAUAAAAUGGUUACUUGAAUAUCUAAGUGUAUGGCUUUUAGUGGGAAUUUCUUGCUAAUGAGGAGUAAAUGAUACUAUGGUUUUGUG
Molecule: long non-coding RNA, 1627 nt
Filed under: Sorghum bicolor (sorghum)
Lineage: Eukaryota; Viridiplantae; Streptophyta; Magnoliopsida; Poales; Poaceae
Description: long non-coding RNA (SBIC_LNC004584)
Source: RNAcentral